GAUGAAGAACUCAGCGAAAUGCGAUAAGUAGUGUGAAUUGCAGAAUUCAGUGAAUCAUCGAAUCUUUGAACGCACAUUGCGCCCCUUGGUAUUCCAUGGGGCAUGCCUGUUCGAGCGUCAUUUGUACCUUCAAGCUUUGCUUGGUGUUGGGUGUUUGUCCAUUCUCUUGCAGAGGGACUCGCCUUAAAGUAAUUGGCAGCCAGUGUUUUGGUUUUGAAGCGCAGCACAAGUCGCGAUUCAACGCUAUACGCCAGCUUCCACAAGCCUUUUUCACUUUUGACCUCGGAUCAGGUAGGGAUACCCGCUGAACUUAAGCAUAUCAAUAAGCGGAGGA
Molecule: unclassified non-coding RNA, 334 nt
Filed under: soil metagenome
Description: partial contains 5.8S ribosomal RNA, internal transcribed spacer 2, and large subunit ribosomal RNA
Rfam family: 5.8S ribosomal RNA (bases 1-120)
Source: RNAcentral